GAUGAACGCUGGCGGCGUGCCUAACACAUGCAAGUCGAGCGAACGGACGAUAAGCUUGUUUCUCUGAUGUUAGCGGCGGACGGGUGAGUAACGCGUGCAUCACCUUCUUAUAUUUCUUGGAUAAUUUCGUGAAACCGCAUCUGAUACCAGAUGAUAUCUUGUACCGCUUGGAUCAAAAGAUAUUCACGGCUUUGGUGUUUCAUUUAGCUGGUGCCGCGUUGGAUUAGCUAGUUGGUAAGGUAACGGCUUACCAAGGCGACGAUGCGUAGCUGACCUGAGAGGAUGAUCGGCCACACUGGAACUGAGACACGGUCCAGACUCCUACGGGAGGCAGCAGUAGGGAAUCUUGCGCAAUGGGCGAAAGCCUGACGCAGCAACGCCGCGUGGGUGAUGAAGGUCUUCGGGUCGUAAAGCCCUGUUAUUGGGGAAGAACAGAUGUGUAAGUAAAUGUGGCUGUCUUGACGGUACCUAAUCAAAAAGCAACGGCUAACUACGUG
RNAcentral lists this ribosomal RNA (497 nucleotides) under uncultured bacterium. RNAcentral describes it as "partial 16S ribosomal RNA". It matches the Rfam family "Bacterial small subunit ribosomal RNA", at positions 28 to 507 of the family's 1533-position model. The record is from RNAcentral.